RNAcentral lists this ribosomal RNA (493 nucleotides) under uncultured bacterium. Its description in RNAcentral is "partial 16S ribosomal RNA". The record is from RNAcentral.
UACGUAGUUAGCCGGGGCUUAUUCCUUUGGUACCGUCAUUUAUUCGUUCCAAAGAAAAGAGCUUUACAAUAAAAUUACCUUCAUCACUCACGCGGCAUUGCUGGGUCAGAGUUGCCUCCAUUGCCCAAUAUUCCCCACUGCUGCCUCCCGUAGGAGUCUGGGCCGUGUUUCAGUCCCAAUGUGGCCGAUCAGCCUCUCAGCUCGGCUACCCAUCGUAGGCUUGGUGGGCUGUUAUCUCACCAACUACCUAAUGGGAUAUGAGCCCAUCUCUAUCCGAUAAAACUCUUUUACCGCUGCACGAUGCCGUGCUGUGGUCAUAUACCGUAUUACCAGUCGUUUCCAACUGCUAUCCCGUUGAUAGAGGCAGGUUGCUCAUACAUUACUCACCCGUUCGCCACUAACUUUCAUCCCGAAGGAAUCAGUCCGUUCGACUUGCAUGUGUUAAGCAUGCCGCCAGCGUUCGUCUCGUAGCACGAGUCAACGUACUCUCGUA